RNAcentral lists this ribosomal RNA (253 nucleotides) under uncultured bacterium. RNAcentral describes it as "partial 16S ribosomal RNA". It matches the Rfam family "Bacterial small subunit ribosomal RNA", at positions 524 to 776 of the family's 1533-position model. The record is from RNAcentral.
UACAGGGGGGGCAAGCGUUGUUCGGAAUUACUGGGCGUAAAGGGUUCGUAGGUGGCCACUUAAGUCAGACGUGAAAUCCCUCAGCUUAACUGGGGAACUGCGUCUGAUACUGCGUGGCUUGAGUGCAGGAGAGGAAUGCGGAAUUCCAGGUGUAGCGGUGAAAUGCGUAGAUAUCAGGAGGAACACCGGUGGCGAAGGCGGCUUUCUGGACAGAUACCGACGCUGAGGCACGAAAGCUAGGGGAGCAAACAGG